AAGAAAAGUCAUAAAAAAGUCAUAGUAUAGUAUUUCAAAAAAUUCAUAAAAAGUCAUAGUAUAGCAUGUCAAAAAUGUCAUAGUAUAGCAUGUCAUAAAAUAUCACAAAGGUCAUAGUAUGGUCUGUC
Molecule: long non-coding RNA, 128 nt
Organism: Etheostoma spectabile (orangethroat darter)
Lineage: Eukaryota; Metazoa; Chordata; Actinopteri; Perciformes; Percidae
Exons: 2
Source: RefSeq, a predicted model, not a curated record